UGCCUAAUACAUGCAAGUCGAACGAUGAAGGGGCCCUUUUAAGCUUCUAGCUUGCUAGAGUGCUGAUUAGUGGCGCACGGGUGAGUGGCGCAUAGGUCAUGUGCCUCUUAGUUUGGGAUAGCCAUUGGAAAGGAUGAUUACACAGAUACUCCCUACGGGGGAAAGAUUUAUCGCUAAGAGAUCAGCCUAUGUCCUAUCAGCUUGUUGGUAAGGGGAUGGCUUACCUAGGCUAUGACGGGUAUCCGGCCUGAGAGGGUGAACGGACACACUGGAACUGAGACACGGUCCAGACUCCUACGGGAGGCAGCAGUAGGGAAUAUUGCUCAAUGAAACCCUGAAGCAGCAACGCCGCGUGGAGGAUGAAGGUUUAGGGAUUGUAUACUCCGGUUGUUAGAGAAGAUAAUGACGGUAUCUAACGAAUUAGCACCGGCUAACUCCGUGCCAAGCCGCGGUAAUACGGAGGGUGCAAGCGUUACUCGGUAUCACUGGGCGUAUUGAGCGCGUAGGCGGGAUAGUCAGUCAGGUGUGAAAUCCUAUCUUAACCAUAGUACUGCAUUUGAAACUACUAUUACACUGUGGGAGAGGUAGGUGGAAUUCUUGGUGUAGGGGUAAAAUCCGUAGAGAUCGAGAGGAAUACUCAUUGCGAAGGCGACUUGCUGGAACAUUACUGACGCUGAUGCGCGAAAGCGUGGGGAGCUUACAGGAUUAGAUACCAAAAGGGUUCGUACUGUCGUUCGGCACAGGUCCCUCCCUGCGGUUAACAGUCCGUAGGUAGUCCACGCCCUAAACGAUGGAUGCUAUUGCCUCUAGCGGGCGUUCACACUGGGAAAAUUCUGGUCGUCCGGUAACUAGCUUGGAGGGCUUAGUCUCUCCAGUAAUGCAGCUUACGCAUUAUGCAUGGGGCCUGGGGAGUACGGUCGCAAGAUUAAAACUCAGAGGGGUAGACGGGGACCCGCACAAGCGGUGGAGCAUUCGCGUGUGCGUGUGGUUUAAUUCGAAGAUACACGAAGAACCUUACCUAGGCUUGACAUUGAGAGAAUCCGCUAGUUAUAGUGGAGUGUCUAGCUUGCUAGACCUUGAAAACAGGUGCUGCACGGCUGUCAGCUCGUGUCGUGAGAUGUUGGGUUAAGUCCCGCAACGAGCGCAACCCGAAACUUAGUUGCUAACAGGCCAUGCUGAGAACUCUAAAGGAUACUGCCUCCGUAAGGAGGAGGAAGGUGGCCACGACGUCAAGUCAAAUCAUGGCCUUACGCCUAGGGCUACACACGUGCUACAAUGGGGUGCACAAAGAGAAGCAAUACUGUGAAGUGGAGCCAAUCUUCAAAACACCUCUCAGUUCGGAUUGUAGGCUGCAACUCGCCUGCAUGAAGCUGGAAUCGCUAGUUUAAUCGCAAUCAGGCA
RNAcentral lists this ribosomal RNA (1401 nucleotides) under Helicobacter pylori. Its description in RNAcentral is "bacterial SSU rRNA". It matches the Rfam family "Bacterial small subunit ribosomal RNA", at positions 45 to 1354 of the family's 1533-position model. Lineage: Bacteria; Pseudomonadati; Campylobacterota; Epsilonproteobacteria; Campylobacterales; Helicobacteraceae. The record is from RNAcentral.